Molecule: long non-coding RNA, 1123 nt
Organism: Anopheles gambiae (African malaria mosquito)
Lineage: Eukaryota; Metazoa; Arthropoda; Insecta; Diptera; Culicidae
Exons: 3
Source: RefSeq, a predicted model, not a curated record
ACCACCCACUGCAGCCGCACAUCAAGGGAGGAAGUCAUUCUCCCUCCCUUAAGCGCAUCACCUUCUGCAUCGGCGUCGGCGUAUACCCAAGUAGCAACCGAAGCUUUUUUCUCCCAGUUUCAACCCCCUCUUGUCCAAAAACAUCCUUCGCUCACUAUUCCUAUCCCAUUUCUACAUUCUACAACGUUUGUUGCGUUCUCGCUCAUCAGGGUGUUAGUCAAUUCUCUCUUGCCACACGAAGAGAAUUCUCCUGCACACUUGUGUGUUUGAUUCUACCCAUCCCUGUUGAACACAAGUCAUUUUCUUCCAUCACACUCAUCAGGGUGUUUGCUCUUUUCCAUCCAAGCCAAAGAGCGACUUCAGUGUGCUCUGAACCGUGGACGUGAGAGUGUGUGUUUGUGUGCUGCGUGAACUAUUUUUCCUGCGUAAAACACUUUCCCGUACUGCACCAUCCACGGUGUUCUUUCUGCUUCAUCGGAGGACGAAUUUUUAUCAUCUAAUUGUUUGGUUUCAGAUGUGUGCUGUUACCGCAAGCUGUUCUCCAAACCUCUUCAAAUUGCAACACUGUGUGCGCAGGCGUUCAAGGUUCAAUUGAUCCUCAAGCACAAAGCAUUCAUACAACACCGCGGUUGAGGCGCGCCAAAUUUGAUGACAUCUUCCCGGAACCAAGCAGGCUGAACAUGCGCAUCACCAAACGGGCUCCAGCGCGGUGUGAAGAGAGAGGAAGAAGAGAAGACAGAAUUGGAAAUAGCCGCGCCAGUCUACCAACCACCGUGUGUGUGUAUGUAAAUAUGUGAGAACACAUGUGUGAAUCCUAUUGUGGGAACUGCAAAAAGAAGAGAAAUAAAGAGUGUGAAGCAGCUAUCAUCAUCAGAAGCAAAAUACUAUGCUCGCAAACAUUAUUGUCACAAAUUUACUCAACACAGUUUUCUGAAUUGGUCGCCGUACCAAUCGUUUAACACGUGCAGGCUGAUGGCAGGUUCCAGGGCCUGACAGUAAACUUUCCCACUUGCCAGUGGCAGGCCCUGGAGCCUGCCAUUGGCCUUUUGCUAGGGAAACAAACAACAUUGUGAACAACUACAUUUAUUUAUUUAUAUGGUCUAGUCGGAAUAGUUAUAUUUAA